CCUAGCGUUAUCCGGAUUUAUUGGGCGUAGAGCGAGCGCACACGGUUGUUUAAGUCUGAAGUGAAAGCCCACAGCUUAACUGUGGAAGUGCUUUGGAAACUGGAUGACUUGAGUGCAGUAGAGGAGAGUGGAACUCCAUGUGUAGCGGUGAAAUGCGUAGAUAUAUGGAAGAACACCAGUGGCGAAGGCGGCUCUCUGGACUGUAACUGACGUUGAGGCUCGAAAGUGUGGGUAGCAAACAGGAUUAGAUACCCUGGUAGUCCACACCGUAAACGAUGAGUGCUAGAUGUUUGAGGGUUUCCGCCCUUAAGUGUCGCAGCUAACGCAUUAAGCACUCCGCCUGGGGAGUACGACCGCAAGGUUGAAACUCAAAGGAAUUGACGGGGACCCGCACAAGCGGUGGAGCAUGUGGUUUAAUUCGAAGCAACGCGAAGAACCUUACCAGCUCUUGACAUCCUUUGACCACUUCAGAAAUGAAGCUUUCCCUUCGGGGACAAAGUGACAGGUGGUGCAUGGUUGUCGUCAGCUCGUGUCGUGAGAUGUUGGGUUAAGUCCCGCAACGAGCGCAACCCUUAUUACUAGUUGCCAGCAUUUAGUUGGGCACUCUAGUGAGACUGCCGGUGACAAACCGGAGGAAGGUGGGGAUGACGUCAAAUCAUCAUGCCCCUUAUGAGCUGGGCUACACACGUGCUACAAUGGCAAGUACAACGAGCAGCUAACCCGCGAGGGUACGCGAAUCUCUUAAAACUUGUCUCGGUUCGGAUUGUAGGCUGCAACUCGCCUACAUGAAGUUGGAAUCGGUAGUAAUCGCGGAUCGGCACGCCGCGGUGAAUACGUUCCCGGGUCUUGUACACACCGCCCGUCACACCGUGAGAGUUUGUAACACCCAAAGCCGGUGAGGUAACCUUUUAGGAGC
RNAcentral lists this ribosomal RNA (916 nucleotides) under uncultured Weissella sp. RNAcentral describes it as "bacterial SSU rRNA". It matches the Rfam family "Bacterial small subunit ribosomal RNA", at positions 534 to 1449 of the family's 1533-position model. Lineage: Bacteria; Bacillati; Bacillota; Bacilli; Lactobacillales; Lactobacillaceae. The record is from RNAcentral.